CUCCCCGGAAAUGAGAUACCCAUAGCCGGUCUCACUCUACAAUGAGUAUAGUUGACGAUUUCCUAUCUCAUCCAUUAGAGAGAGUGUAGAUAUAUAAUUAUAUAAAUUCAUUUUCUAAUUAUAUCUACAGGGUAAGGCAACGGGAGGAAUACACCCAUAGGAUUCGAAAGUGGUUCAAACUAGGUGGAUGAUUGAUAUAUCCUUUUGAUUUAUGU
This 215-nucleotide long non-coding RNA is filed under the name Elaeis guineensis (African oil palm). Its description in RNAcentral is "long non-coding RNA (EGUI_LNC042029)". The record is from RNAcentral. Lineage: Eukaryota; Viridiplantae; Streptophyta; Magnoliopsida; Arecales; Arecaceae.